Scatophagus argus is the source of this 194-nucleotide small nuclear RNA. RefSeq annotates it as U2 spliceosomal RNA. The transcript has a single exon. Lineage: Eukaryota; Metazoa; Chordata; Actinopteri; Scatophagidae. The record is from RefSeq and is a predicted model, not a curated record.
CUCGCUUCUCGGCCUUUUGGCUAAGAUCAAGUGUAGUAUCUGUUCUUAUCAGUUUAAUAUCUGAUACGUCCUCCAUAAGGGGACAGCAUAUUAAAUGGAUUUUUAGCACUGGGAGCCGAAAAAGGGGGCAGCCGUGGCCUAGAGGUUGGAGAAGCGGCUUGUGAUCGGAGGGUCACCGGUUCGAUUCCCCCACU